This 498-nucleotide small RNA is filed under the name Resinicium bicolor. RNAcentral's name for it is "eukaryotic LSU rRNA". The stretch from base 85 to 238 matches the Rfam family "5.8S ribosomal RNA". The record is from RNAcentral. Lineage: Eukaryota; Fungi; Basidiomycota; Agaricomycetes; Hymenochaetales.
ACUCAUCAUUUAACACUUGUGAACUUAUUCAUUAUAAACAUUAUCAUUUGUUAUUGGAACGAUUGAAUUAUAACAAGUUAAUACAACUUUCAACAACGGAUCUCUUGGUUCUCGCAUCGAUGAAGAACGCAGCGAAAUGCGAUAAGUAAUGUGAAUUGCAGAAUUCAGUGAAUCAUCGAAUCUUUGAACGCACCUUGCGCUCCCUGGUAUUCCGGGGAGCAUGCCUGUUUGAGUGUCGUGAAAUCAUCAUGGUCAUGAUCUUUAAUUAAUCAUGGCUUGGUUUUGGAGGUUAUGUUGGCUUUUUAUUAAGUUGACUCCUCUUAAAUACAUUAGCUCAGUGUUUAAUGCUUAGAGCGGUUCACGGUGUGAUAAUUAUCUACACUUCAACCAAUUUAAGUUAGCUGGCUUCUAAUCGAUCCUUAGUGAUCACUUUGUGUAUUUGACCUCAAAUCAGGUAGGACUACCCGCUGAACUUAAGCAUAUCAAUAAGCGGAGGAA